GAUGAACGCUAGCGACAGGCCUAACACAUGCAAGUCGAGGGGCAGCGGGGAUGAAGCUUGCUUCAUCUGCCGGCGACCGGCGCACGGGUGAGUAACACGUAUGCAACCUGCCCGCCACAGGGGGAUAAACGCUGGAAACGGCGCCUAAUACCCCAUACUAUCGCUAUGCUGCAUGGCAUGGCGAUGAAAACUCCGGUGGUGGCGGAUGGGCAUGCGGCGCAUUAGCUGGUUGGCGGGGUAACGGCCCACCAAGGCGACGAUCGUUAGGGGUUCUGAGAGGAAGGUCCCCCACACUGGAACUGAGACACGGUCCAGACUCCUACGGGAGGCAGCAGUGAGGAAUAUUGGUCAAUGGGCGCGAGCCUGAACCAGCCAAGUAGCGUGAAGGAUGACUGCCCUACGGGUUGUAAACUUCUUUUGUUUGGGAAUAAAUGAUAUUACGUGUAGUAUUUUGCAUGUACCUUACGAAUAAGCAUCGGCUAAUUCCGUG
Molecule: ribosomal RNA, 490 nt
Filed under: uncultured bacterium
Lineage: Bacteria
Description: bacterial SSU rRNA
Rfam family: Bacterial small subunit ribosomal RNA
Source: RNAcentral